UAGCUACAACCGCGUUGUUGAAAUGUUUACAUCUUCAACAACGGACGCCACGAAGGAGAGGAUUUCUAAAUGAUUUCCGGGCCGGAAGAGUAAGCGUUGUUGUGGCAACAGUCGCCUUUGGGCUUGGAAUCGACAUUCCGGACGUGUGGCUCGUGGUCCACUGGGGCGCACCGCGCUCUAUCCUGUCUUACUGGCAGAGCCGGUAGCGAUGGAGAUCCCGCUCUUGCUCUAGUUUUCGCGUACCCUCGGUCCAUAACGGAUUGCCAUGACGCUAUGAAGACCAUGGUGAAUGGGACGGAAUGCGUCAGACGUACCGUUCUGAAGGAGCUAAGAACUAAAGACAUGAAUCCUAUUCCUGCCCAAGGCGAUGGUUGUCAAGAUGACACAUGUGAAGUGUGUGUUUGCCAGUUGUGUAUUUGUUGUAACAGAUGCUCACGAAGCUGUACAUGUUUUGGA
Molecule: long non-coding RNA, 456 nt
Organism: Dreissena polymorpha
Lineage: Eukaryota; Metazoa; Mollusca; Bivalvia; Myida; Dreissenidae
Exons: 2
Source: RefSeq, a predicted model, not a curated record